GGAUAACACCUGGAAACAGAUGCUAAUACCGGAUGACAACACUAGACGCAUGUCUAGAGUUUGAAAGAUGGUUCUGCUAUCACUCUUGGAUGGACCUGCGGUGCAUUAGCUAGUUGGUAAGGUAACGGCUUACCAAGGCAAUGAUGCAUAGCCGAGUUGAGAGACUGAUCGGCCACAUUGGGACUGAGACACGGCCCAAACUCCUACGGGAGGCAGCAGUAGGGAAUCUUCCACAAUGGACGAAAGUCUGAUGGAGCAACGCCGCGUGAGUGAAGAAGGGUUUCAGCUCGUAAAGCUCUGUUGGUAGUGAAGAAAGAUAGAGGUAGUAACUGGCCUUUAUUUGACGGUAAUUACUUAGAAAGUCACGGCUAACUACGUGCCAGCAGCCGCGGUAAUACGUAGGUGGCAAGCGUUGUCCGGAUUUAUUGGGCGUAAAGCGAGUGCAGGCGGUUCAAUAAGUCUGAUGUGAAAGCCUUCGGCUCAACCGGAGAAUUGCAUCAGAAACUGUGGAACUUGAGUGCAGAAGAGGAGAGUGGAACUCCAUGUGUAGCGGUGGAAUGCGUAGAUAUAUGGAAGAACACCAGUGGCGAAGGCGGCUCUCUGGUCUGCAACUGACGCUGAGGCUCGAAAGCAUGGGUAGCGAACAGGAUUAGAUACCCUGGUAGUCCAUGCCGUAAACGAUGAGUGCUAAGUGUUGGGAGGUUUCCGCCUCUCAGU
RNAcentral lists this ribosomal RNA (717 nucleotides) under uncultured bacterium. Its description in RNAcentral is "bacterial SSU rRNA". It matches the Rfam family "Bacterial small subunit ribosomal RNA", at positions 141 to 844 of the family's 1533-position model. The record is from RNAcentral.